This 497-nucleotide ribosomal RNA is filed under the name uncultured bacterium. RNAcentral's name for it is "partial 16S ribosomal RNA". It matches the Rfam family "Bacterial small subunit ribosomal RNA", at positions 28 to 507 of the family's 1533-position model. The record is from RNAcentral.
GAUGAACGCUGGCGGCGUGCCUAAUACAUGCAAGUCGAGCGAACAGACGAGGAGCUUGCUCCUCUGACGUUAGCGGCGGACGGGUGAGUAACACGUGGAUAACCUACCUAUAAGACUGGGAUAACUUCGGGAAACCGGAGCUAAUACCGGAUAAUAUAUUGAACCGCAUGGUUCAAUAGUGAAAGACGGUUUUGCUGCCACUUAUAGAUGGAUCCGCGCCGCAUUAGCUAGUUGGUAAGGUAACGGCUUACCAAGGCAACGAUGCGUAGCCGACCUGAGAGGGUGAUCGGCCACCCUGGAACUGAGACACGGUCCAGACUCCUACGGGAGGCAGCAGUAGGGAAUCUUCCGCAAUGGGCGAAAGCCUGACGGAGCAACGCCGCGUGAGUGAUGAAGGUCUUCGGAUCGUAAAACUCUGUUAUUAGGGAAGAACAAAUGUGUAAGUAACUAUGCACGUCUUGACGGUACCUAAUCAGAAAGCCACGGCUAACUACGUG